This 68-nucleotide transfer RNA is filed under the name Ocellarnaca fuscotessellata. RNAcentral's name for it is "tRNA-Gln". Lineage: Eukaryota; Metazoa; Arthropoda; Insecta; Orthoptera; Gryllacrididae. The record is from RNAcentral.
UACAUUUUGGUGUACGAGGCACAGAAAUUUUUGAUGUUUUAAGAAUAGUUUAAUUCUAUUAAAUGUAA